RNAcentral lists this ribosomal RNA (216 nucleotides) under Glomeromycotina sp. RNAcentral describes it as "partial small subunit ribosomal RNA". The stretch from base 87 to 216 matches the Rfam family "Eukaryotic small subunit ribosomal RNA", at positions 733 to 864 of the family's 1831-position model. The record is from RNAcentral. Lineage: Eukaryota; Fungi; Glomeromycota.
GGGUCAGUAGGUUGGUCGUGCCACCGGUACGUACUGGUCUCACUGAUUCCUCCUUCCUGAGGAACCGUAAUGCCAUUAAGUUGGUGUUGCGGGGAAACAGGACUGUUACUUUGAAAAAAUUAGAGUGUUUAAAGCAAGCUAACGCUUGAAUACAUUAGCAUGGAAUAAUGAAAUAGGACGAUCGAUCCUAUUUUGUUGGUUUCUAGGAUUGACGUA